Molecule: ribosomal RNA, 500 nt
Filed under: uncultured bacterium
Lineage: Bacteria
Description: bacterial SSU rRNA
Rfam family: Bacterial small subunit ribosomal RNA
Source: RNAcentral
AUUGAACGCUGGCGGAAUGCUUUACACAUGCAAGUCGAGCGGCAGCGCGGGGCAACCUGGCGGCGAGCGGCGAACGGGUGAGUAAUACAUCGGAACGUGCCCAGACGUGGGGGAUAACUACUCGAAAGAGUGGCUAAUACCGCAUACGAUCUAAGGAUGAAAGCGGGGGAUCGCAAGACCUCGCGCGUUUGGAGCGGCCGAUGGCAGAUUAGGUAGUUGGUGGGGUAAAGGCUUACCAAGCCCGCGAUCUGUAGCUGGUCUGAGAGGAUGAUCAGCCACACUGGGACUGAGACACGGCCCAGACUCCUACGGGAGGCAGCAGUGGGGAAUUUUGGACAAUGGGCGAAAGCCUGAUCCAGCCAUUCCGCGUGCAGGAUGAAGGCCCUCGGGUUGUAAACUGCUUUUGUACAGAACGAAAAAGCUCUUUCUAAUACAGAGAGUCCAUGACGGUACUGUAAGAAUAAGCACCGGCUAACUACGUGCCAGCAGCCGCGGUAAUC